This 73-nucleotide transfer RNA is filed under the name Bacteroidota bacterium. Its description in RNAcentral is "Bacteroidetes bacterium (activated sludge metagenome) tRNA-Lys". It matches the Rfam family "tRNA". Rfam says of the family: Transfer RNA (tRNA) molecules are approximately 80 nucleotides in length. Their secondary structure includes four short double-helical elements and three loops (D, anti-codon, and T loops). Further hydrogen bonds mediate the characteristic L-shaped molecular structure. tRNAs have two regions of fundamental functional importance: the anti-codon, which is responsible for specific mRNA codon recognition, and the 3' end, to which the tRNAs corresponding amino acid is attached (by aminoacyl-tRNA synthetases). tRNAs cope with the degeneracy of the genetic code in two manners: having more than one tRNA (with a specific anti-codon) for a particular amino acid; and 'wobble' base-pairing, i.e. permitting non-standard base-pairing at the 3rd anti-codon position. The record is from RNAcentral. Lineage: Bacteria; Pseudomonadati; Bacteroidota.
GAUCCCGUAGCUCAGCUGGCAGAGCAUUUGACUUUUAAUCAAAGGGUCGCAGGUUCGAGCCGUGCCGCGAUCA